Non-coding RNA from Crassisporium funariophilum, 84 nucleotides. Lineage: Eukaryota; Fungi; Basidiomycota; Agaricomycetes; Agaricales; Crassisporiaceae. The record is from the annotation of a GenBank genome assembly.
GCAUUAAUGGGGUAGUGGUAACCUGGGUCGUUGCCAUAGAGUCAUUGACUCGACCCGCCGGGGGUUCGAUUCCCUCUUAAUGCA